GGCCUAACACAUGCAAGUCGAGCGGAAACGACACUAACAAUCCUUCGGGUGCGUUAAUGGGCGUCGAGCGGCGGACGGGUGAGUAAUGCCUAGGAAAUUGCCUUGAUGUGGGGGAUAACCAUUGGAAACGAUGGCUAAUACCGCAUGAUGCCUACGGGCCAAAGAGGGGGACCUUCGGGCCUCUCGCGUCAAGAUAUGCCUAGGUGGGAUUAGCUAGUUGGUGAGGUAAUGGCUCACCAAGGCGACGAUCCCUAGCUGGUCUGAGAGGAUGAUCAGCCACACUGGAACUGAGACACGGUCCAGACUCCUACGGGAGGCAGCAGUGGGGAAUAUUGCACAAUGGGCGAAAGCCUGAUGCAGCCAUGCCGCGUGUAUGAAGAAGGCCUUCGGGUUGUAAAGUACUUUCAGUUGUGAGGAAGGGUGUGUAGUUAAUAGCUGCGCAUCUUGACGUUAGCAACAGAAGAAGCACCGGCUAACUCCGUGCCAGCAGCCGCGGUAAUACGGAGGGUGCGAGCGUUAAUCGGAAUUACUGGGCGUAAAGCGCAUGCAGGUGGUUCAUUAAGUCAGAUGUGAAAGCCCGGGGCUCAACCUCGGAACUGCAUUUGAAACUGGUGAACUAGAGUACUGUAGAGGGGGGUAGAAUUUCAGGUGUAGCGGUGAAAUGCGUAGAGAUCUGAAGGAAUACCAGUGGCGAAGGCGGCCCCCUGGACAGAUACUGACACUCAGAUGCGAAAGCGUGGGGAGCAAACAGGAUUAGAU
Molecule: ribosomal RNA, 759 nt
Filed under: Vibrio sp. CCH-53
Lineage: Bacteria; Pseudomonadati; Pseudomonadota; Gammaproteobacteria; Vibrionales; Vibrionaceae
Description: bacterial SSU rRNA
Rfam family: Bacterial small subunit ribosomal RNA
Source: RNAcentral